Vespula vulgaris is the source of this 2255-nucleotide long non-coding RNA. RefSeq lists it as uncharacterized. The record is from RefSeq and is a predicted model, not a curated record. The transcript has 7 exons. NCBI's taxonomy places the organism in Eukaryota, Metazoa, Arthropoda, Insecta, Hymenoptera, Vespidae.
UGAAUUUUUCAUAGCAUACGUAUGACAAAAAAUCGCAUUUACGAAAGUAGGCUUAAAGAUUCGAGCGCGCUUCCGCGCAUGUGUGAGUGCGUGUACGUGUCGUGUGCGUGCGUAUACAUGUCGUGUUCGUGUGCGUGUGAGUGCGUACGCGUAAAGGUGUGUAUCUACGAGUGCUUUUUCUCAUCGCCUCGGUAAGCGCGUCGUUUUUAGUGGAAAACGAGGACACGAUUGUUUCGCCUCGGUGCUUUUUCGGACGCAACUUGUUUCGCUUCCUGCAAAAGGUGAUUCUUUUACAUCGAACGACGAAAAUCCCGUAGAAAACUGUGUAUAAGUGAUUUACGUACAUUAUGCGUAUAUACCUACAUACAUGCAUAUGCGUAGAAUCGUUUAAACGAAUCGUCAUGGUUCAUGGUUAUUUUUAUAUCUUUAUUAAGACGGAACACGCACGAUAGAUCGAUCGGUAAAACAGAAAACUCUUUCUCUCUUAAUUUCUUUUUUUAUUUUCCAUAAAAAAUAAUUAAUUUCUUAGAAAAAUGAAAAAAGUAAUAAGAAAAAAAAAUUAAAUUGGUCGGUUAGAAGAUAAGUAAUUAUGUAUGUAUAUGAUAUAUAUAUAUCUACGUAUAUAUGUAUGUACGUAUGUAUAGAGACAUGUACGAAUCAAAAUGGCGGAGCUUCUUCAUGCGACACGACAUAUCGUGGUUUUACAUUCCGUUAAUAGAAAGCUACUUGUGAAACGAGAUACAAUUAUGCGACUUGGUUGGAAUAGUAGAGGAGUAGAAAAAAAAGAAGAAAGAAAGAGAGGGAAAGAAAAAAAGAAAGAAUGAAAGAAAGAAGACAUGCAGUAAGUAAAUAAGUAAACUGUAUUGUCCUGUUGUGAUCGUGCAAAGGAUGAGGAAGAGAAAAGAAAAAAGUAAAAAGGAGAAAAAAAAGAAUAAGAAACAAAAAAGUGAAAAGGAGCGUACGAAGGACGAGGAACACUUUCGAAAGAAUUCAUGCGAGUAAAAUUUCGCGAAACUCAUAGGCAAAGCACGUAGACAUCGUCGUUGUCGUUGUCGUUGUCGUUGUCGUCGUCAUCGUUUUCGUUGUCGUCGUUGUCGACGUCGUCACAUGGAAGAAAAAGGUUUCACUUCUCGACCACGAAGAAUCGAUCUCGAAUGACUUUCACUGAACGACCAAUUGGACUUCACUGCUAUCUAUUUCUACAUGAUGGAGAUAAGAAUCAAUUAAACUUGGCAGUGAUUGGCAAAGACCGAGAGUUAAGAUCCUGAGCAUGAAUCAUUCGUAAAGCUUGUAACGGUAUUCGUGGACUCGCUGCAGAGAUCUUCGGAAGCAUGUUUCAAAAUUUCAAAACGUAAAUAGGUAAUGUAAGGUCAAAGUGAACGAACUUUUAAAGGUCCAUGGAAAACCUCGAAGACUUGCCGAAACGCAAACCCUGAUUUGGCAAUUAGGUCAAUGCCUAUCUUUCAAUACGUAUCAGAUGACCCAAUGUUCUUCAUGAUAUUUUCAUUCUUAAUUACCAGGACGAUUGGAUAUUCUUAAGGAUAAUCAGGGACCCUUUUCUUCGGACAUUCUAGUCCUUUCUCUUUGUCAAUGAUUACGUAUAAUCAUGAGCUCAACUUUUCAUAAAGUCGAACGAUAGAGGAGGUGUAGGAGGAGGAGAAGGAAGAGGAGGAGAAGGAAGAGGAGGAGUAAGAGGAGGAAAAAGAGGAGGAGGAGGAGAAGGAGGAGGAGGAGGAGGAGGAGGAGAAGGAGGAGUUCCGUCAUGACCCAGUUUCGUUUUACGUUCGAGGGUUAAGGCAGGCAAGGCCGGAAAAGAACGAUGAAACUAACAAGUUGCUCGUUGAUAGCUAGCAGCACAGUCGCUAGAAACGUACAAGGCACUGGGUACCAUCGUGAAUCUUGCUACGGCCCUGGAAAAUGUAUUACUGCCAGGUGAAGCAGUAGAGGUAAUAUCGAAUAUGAUAUCGCCAUUCUUUCGAACGGUCAACAUUUAUGCUCGUUCGUGCUCGGCUGACAGGUGUGAAUCGUGUGUUCUCGGGAGCGCACGCGCAAUGUGGCCACCAGUCUGUCGCAUUUCUGCGCUACAAGUGCUUUCAUAAAUGAAAAUCAAAAGGAAACCAAGAAAACGGAGAUUAAAAUAUUUUUUUUCCACCAAGGUAUCAUCAACAUAACAAGCUAACUAUACGUAACAAGAAUAGCAUUCAUAGAGACGAUCGACUGAUGAUUUUAGAAAUUAAAAUGAAUUUAACGAUCAA